UUCCCUACGGGGGGCAGCAGUGGGGAAUAUUGCACAAUGGGGGAAACCCUGAUGCAGCAACGCCGCGUGAGUGAGGAAGUAUUUCGGUAUGUAAAGCUCUAUCAGCAGGGAAUAGAAAAGAAGGUACCUGAAAAAGAAGCCCCGGCUAACUACGUGCCAGCAGCCGCGGUAAUACGUAGGGGGCAAGCGUUAUCCGGAUUUACUGGGUGUAAAGGGAGCGUAGGCGGUUUAGCAAGUCAGAAGUGAAAGCCCGGGGCUCAACUCCGGGACUGCUUUUGAAACUGUUGAACUAGAUUGCAG
Molecule: ribosomal RNA, 300 nt
Filed under: uncultured bacterium
Lineage: Bacteria
Description: bacterial SSU rRNA
Rfam family: Bacterial small subunit ribosomal RNA
Source: RNAcentral